GAUGAACGCUGGCGGCGUGCCUAAUACAUGCAAGUCGAGCGAACAGACGAGGAGCUUGCUCCUCUGACGUUAGCGGCGGACGGGUGAGUAACACGUGGAUAACCUACCUAUAAGACUGGGAUAACUUCGGGAAACCGGAGCUAAUACCGGAUAAUAUAUUGAACCGCAUGGUUCAAUAGUGAAAGACGGUUUUGCUGUCACUUAUAGAUGGAUCCGCGCCGCAUUAGCUAGUUGGUAAGGUAACGGCUUACCAAGGCAACGAUGCGUAGCCGACCUGAGAGGGUGAACGGCCACACUGGAACUGAGACACGGUCCAGACUCCUACGGGAGGCCGCAGUAGGGAAUCUUCCGCAAUGGGCGAAAGCCUGACGGAGCAACGCCGCGUGAGUGAUGAAGGUCUUCGGAUCGUAAAACUCUGUUAUUAGGGAAGAACAAAUGUGUAAGUAACUAUGCACGUCUUGACGGUACCUAAUCAGAAAGCCACGGCUAACUACGUG
RNAcentral lists this ribosomal RNA (497 nucleotides) under uncultured bacterium. RNAcentral's name for it is "partial 16S ribosomal RNA". It matches the Rfam family "Bacterial small subunit ribosomal RNA", at positions 28 to 507 of the family's 1533-position model. The record is from RNAcentral.